Long non-coding RNA from Passer domesticus (house sparrow), 8826 nucleotides. RefSeq lists it as uncharacterized. The transcript is spliced from 3 exons. Lineage: Eukaryota; Metazoa; Chordata; Aves; Passeriformes; Passeridae. The record is from RefSeq and is a predicted model, not a curated record.
AGCCACCUGGGGACCGGCCUCUUGUCCCAGGCAACGAGAGGACGUAGUCACAGGCUGCACAGGGGGGUUCAGGCUGGACAUCAGCAGGAAUUUUUUCACAGAAAGGGAUUAGCCACGGGAACGGGCUGCCCAGGGAGGCGGUGGGGUCACUGUGCCGGGGGUGUUUAAGGGAAGGCUGGGAGCGGCACUCAGCGCCAUGGGCUGGCUGACACGGUGCAGUUCGGCCUCAGACGGCACUCCAUGGUCUCAGAGGGCUCUCCUAAACCUCACUGAUUUGGUGAUUCUGUGAAAUUGCUUGGCACAAUUACAGUCAGCAGUGACGUGAGGAACCAUCGGAUGCCAGCAGAUGUGGACACCGCUCAGCACAGCUGUGUGCAAGGCCACUGCACUGCCGUGUGUGCGGCAGGAUCGCCAGGCUUCUUCACGUUCUUCUGCUCUGCAAUGUGUGUGGGGGCAGUGGCUGGCUGUUCAAAUGGUUUUCCUGCCUCCAUCAUGACAGCACCAUCACUGGGAGAAGGCUUUGAUUUCCUAGAGAAAUGUGGUCGCCUUGUUGCUUUGUGUGUCAUCUUUUCCAGCUGCUCCUGGCUUCUGAGCAACUACCAGGCUCCCAAACCCCACUUUCUGAUGCAGACCAAAAAAGGCCCACAACCCCAGCAUUGUACUCUUUGAGCUGGAAACUCCUCCGUGACUAGGAACCAGGGCUGCCCAUGGCCAUGACCUCUCCUGCUGGCUGACAGGGUGGGUAGUGUUUGCAGUGUGCGGCCCCGUGAGCCUCCUGCCUGCAUACCUCAAAACACUGGCUGGGCUACCAGGGGAAAGAGUGUGUUGUUAAUAAUCAUUUUAUAGUCCCGGGUCUAAGAUGUGAUUUAUUUAUGAGGGGAAGCUGAAUGAGAAAUGCAGUCCUUCAGGUGGGAGCUCUGUGAAGCAAAGACUGACAUCCCGACCCUGGCCGCUGACUGGAGUUUUACAUCAGUGAAGCUCCAGAAUUGAUGAGCCACACCCUGGUCUCUGCACGAAGAGCUUGCUGGGCUCGGCAGUGCUCCAGCACUUGGCUGUGGCUGCAGGUGAUACAGGAAGAUGGACCCAAACUCUUCUGAGGGUUUUUUGCACAGCUAAAGACAAGAGGAAGGGGUUGCGAGUUGCAGGAUGGAAUUACAGUGCAACACGAGGAAUAAAAAUCACACUCAGGGUGGGUAAGCACUGUUUCUUCAGCCCAGAGAAGUGGUGCAAUAUCCAUCCCUAGAGACAGUGACAAUUUAGCUGGGCAGAUUCUGUCAUGUCCUGAAAGAGACCCUGCAACACAAGCAAAGGGUUCACCCCGCAGAACCCUCCCCAAAGCUGGCUGCUAAAACAGAGAGCUGGCCAAACAAAUGUCACACAGGCAGAACUCGAGCCCGCUGUCCGCCCCUCGCCCCGGCGGGACUGCUCCGUGCUGCGGUGUCCGUGUGUCCCGCUCUGUCCCCGGGGCUUUGCAGGGUGUCCCCCGCCGGGCUCCAUUUCCAAGGCUGGAGUGUCGCCGUGUGGUCAGUGCCCGGAACUGCUGCUGCAGGAGCGGGCCUGGAUUCAGGGUUUGCGAAGGUGAGAUGUUUCUCCUAUUUUACAGCAAAGGGGGAAAAAAGGUUUUCCACACACAUAGGAGAACACCUGUAUAACGUGAAUAAUUUCCUUGCGCCCAAAGGGAUUGCUCAGAGCCCCCUGGGCGCUGGCUGCAAAUCAGACUGGCUAAAAGAAGUUGCAGGACCUAAUUUCUCCUUCUGCCCACUUCUGCUACUAGAGCUGCAAGGAGCUGAACAAGCAGUGAAUGUUUCCUUUGCUGGCAGCUCCUGCCAUUCAAAAGAAAGACAAUAAGCACCACUCGCCUGAGGUGAAAGACUAGACCUGCUGACACUGACAAGGCCAAAACCUGUAGGUGUGAUGAGCCUUGUUUUGUGCUGCUCCAGUGAAGUGUGCACGUUGUGCAUGUCCUUCAGUACAUCCCCGAAGCAUCGCCUUUGUACACGUGUGCUGGCUGACCCUGCCCUUUGUGCACAGCUGCCCCAAAGUGUCCAAGAUUGAUUGGAUUCUCUCUGGGUGAGGUGGAGAAUGAAUCUGCAUGCCCUAAAGCCAUGUCUGUUUCAGUAGUAGUAGAAAUCCAUUGCCUGAUCGCCUCCUCCCAAGGGGAGAAGUAAUGAAUUGCUGAUGAAAAUGGUUACCUAAAAUCCAAACUGUAAGGUUAGCCAGAAUUUAAAAAAAUCCCAGGAAGCGGUUUCUUUUCAGGAAUAGGUCUGAUUAAUUUUAUGAAAAUUUUGAAAUGCAGCUUUCUCUUGAAAAUUGGGCACAUUGCUUACAGUCUACAGUAUGGCUUUAAUCAAGAGGGCUUAGUUUGCACAUACAGAGAUUUUUCUGUCCCCAAGUACACAAUCCAUGAAAAGUUUGACUCUAAGAGUCGAAACUCCCUUCUACCUGUCUUUCAUCACGUGUAAUAAGGAGUCUGCUAGCAGAUCACACGUUGCAUGACUGGUUAGCUUCUUGGCACUCAGAUGUAUUUCUGUGUACUGGGGCUGUGCUGAAUCUCAUGUUUCUGGCUGCUUUUCUGCUACUGUUUUCAGUGUCAACACGACUAACUCUGCACUAACAUCCUCCUUGAUUGCCCUGUUGUCUGUUUUUGGGGGAACUUUCAGUGAGUAAGUGUGGGCAGUGUAUUCCCUGCCCAUCACUGCACAGCCUGCCUGCCCUAUCCCUACCCCACUCCUGCUGGGUGCUGCCAACACCUGCAGCAGCCUCUGCAUGGGGCAGUGGGACACAGCCCUGUUGGGGUGGAAUAGGGGACUGCUUUCACUGGGUGUUUUCACUGUCCUUCCUCUGAAAUUUCCUGCAUUUAGGAUUCUCCAAGGUUUAUCCAGAGGGAAGUUGGGGGAAAUAGGCAAUGCUCUGUAGUAGAUGUGUUGUAUUUCCACAUGCACCAAACAUGUUUCAGUGCCCCUGGACUUCGUCCCCACAGAUUUCUUCUCCCAGACAAGGAGAUAGGUCUCAGGGGCAUCUGGUGCAGAUGCUACCUCUGUGAAAGCAUUACUCCCAAAAUCAGUACUUGCAACCUGAAAAACCCUAAAGGCAACCUAAAGUCUAAUGGGUUUUCUGAGACCCUGCAGGUGGAAAGUGUGAGCUAUGGCUUGGCUGAUCAUUUUUUAUUUGUAAGGCAACUUUUAGCCUUUCCAAUCCAUGGCAUGACUACACUCUUUUGCACAGUCCAGGGGGACUACUGGUCUGGCAGGGUGCUAUCAAGGCUUGUGGUCCUUGGGAUGAGCCCAUGGGAUGUUGAGCUCCACAGCGGGAUAGCAACAGGGCAUAUGGGGACCACAUCUCAUGAGCAGUAGUAGAGUGAGGGGUGGGAAACAGGCAGAGACUUGCCCUCAUUAUGCAUGGGUCUAACAUGCCCAAUUACCCCAUCCUCUCCUCACCUCUGCAAUGUAAAAGACUGUUGUUGAGGGUGGUCAUAACUCAUGGUGAACACCCUGCCUCCCCCUUACUCCUUUCACACCCACUGCUCUCCAUUUUCCUUCCAGAAAAAAAAUGUGUCUUUGAUGAAAUGAAAUGGCUCAGUCAAAGAACCCCUCAAAUGCUUGGGGACCCCUGCAGUUGGCCACCCUUGCCCACUUCCCAGCUCUAUUUCUGGCCGAGUUUGGAGUUUAAGUGGGCUGACCUUGUGCCCUGACUGCCCUGGGGGUCAGUGAUGAAAGCGGAUGGAGGCUUCACAGUCAGGUCUCUUGUGUGUGACUCUUUUGUUCCCAGGACAAGGGUGUGCAGUGCCUGGGACAGUGCUUAAUUGUUUGGGGGCACUGCUUUACCCGUCAUGCCCUUCCCCGGGUGGCCCCAGCCCUUCUUGCUCAUGCGUGGGAGGGAGGCAGCUUCCCCACUCAGGGUAAGGAGGAGGAAGCAGAGUCUGGAUUGCUUGGGAUCAUUUCUGGCUGUUUAUCAAUCUGUGUCAUAAAUUCUGCAGAGUGCCAGAAAGCAGAAAGAGAAAUAAAGUUAAAAAAAAGGACUUCCUGGCAUUUUGUGACUCCUGUCUAUCACUGGGUGUAUCUUUCAUUGUCCUUCUGUGCAAACAAGAGCAACAUCACCUUGUCCCAGCCAGCUCCUGUGUCCAUGGGAUUCACCCCAUCACUGAGACCUCCCUCUGCCCUUCUACAGAUCUGAGCUGGACACCACACUUGGCACUGCCCUGAAGACAUGCAGAGGAGUGGUAGGUUUUCUGUAGGUGUGCUUGGACAGGAGAAGGAUGCUGGACAACCUGUGGGCAUGAUGAUAAAGAAUUGAAAGUUUAAAAAGCCUUGCCUGGUGGAGGUGGGUCAGCAGAGCUCAGCACAAUCAUGAAGCAAGCCUUGUACCACUCAAUACCUCUUUGGCUGCCCCCUCAGCAUCUUUCUUUUCCCAACGAGUCCUUCCUCUGUGCUUCACAUCUUCAUUAGAGCUGGAGACUGGGGCAGGAGCCUCCACAGCAGGCCCUCCCCUCUGCCAUUUCGGGGAGUGACUGUGCAGAGGAAAUGGAUAAAAGGAGCCCAGGGUCAGGGUUUAAUUACCCCAUUGCGUGCAGAGACGAGUGAUGGACAGAGACUGUCAGUGGGUCACUGAUUAGCUGCCACAGAGCAGACAGAGGAGGGGGGAAAUGUGAUGAGCUCCUGGGACAGGCCAGUGCUGGGGAGAUCUGUGAGACAUGGAGAUGGCAGCUCGUUGUGAAAGACACUUUUUCUUUUAGUUGUUUCCUCGGUCUUUCAUCCCACUAUUUGUCCCAGAUCCAUCAGGAGUCCUGUGGGCUAAACAGUCUCCUGCUGUGCCGUGGCUGCUUUGCUGGCUAGGGACAAGUUGCUGCUGAGGUGGCAGGUCCCCUGGGGAGAUGGAGAAGAAGGGAUGUCUCCUGCCAGCUGUGGCGAUCUCUUGUCUCCCUGUGGCAAGAUUUGGUGACCUGGUUCUGUGUAGCAAUAUGCAGAAGAAGCAAGUUUCAGCAAGUCUUAACUCUUCUGCUCCUAAUCCCAGAGGUAAUUCUGCCUCCUUUCCUUCUCAUCCUCAUAUCAAGCCCUUGUUCCUCAUCCCACCAUGCUGUCUCUGAGCCCAGCCUCCCUUUUCCUACAUUUAGACAACUCAAGUCAACUCAUAUCCCUGCCCCUGCCCUCGAGUCCUGCCAUACAGUGUCACACCUCACACACAAUCUUCUUCCACCAGUCCUGUUACCUUUGGGCUCAAGACUCCUCUUUCUUCUCUACAAUCCCUAUCACACACCCUCUUUUGGAGUCUGACCUUCAGUUUCUACCUCCAUACACAGUGGUCCCCCAAGGUCCUGCUUCCCAUGUUCACUCUCCCUGUCAUUCCUACCCUUUCCUCUCCCAUUCUUGCUUUUCCUCACUCAUCCCUUAUCCCUCUUUCCUGUCCCCUUCACCCCUGAUCUCCCAGGGUUGUUUGCGUUGAUCGUUUCUGGAAUCAUGAGAUCACUGUUUUUUUCUGUCGCUCUCAGUGGGAACAUCACAUUAAGGAGCGUGGAUAAGUGACCGGGGGCCAUUGGGGUGACUCUGGCACCCCCUCUCCCCACUGUCCCUACCCCCUCUUCUUCUGUAUCAAAGGAAGCUUUGUUGUCCAAAAGCAGAAAGAGAAAAGCAGAUAAAAAGGCGGAACAUGUGAUCUCAUUGGCUUUAUUUAGACAUCCAGCUAUCCCUCCUCUCUUCUUGAUUCAUCCAAAAUUAUCUAAGUAAGAAUCCAAAAUCCAUCCUUGGGCUUCUCAUUUCUGAAAGCGAUGGUGGUAGAUUCUUUUUUCCAAAGGGGCUCCAACAGCUGACCUCUUGGUCUCCACAAGGUGCAAAGAUGACCCUGAUGGGGCUCUCUAGACACUGUAAUGCCUUUGAUUAGAGUCUUCACAUCAGGAGUGUGGCAUCCCACCAUGUGAAGGAGAGUUGAAGAAGGGAGAAGCAAAGCCUUUUCCUUAAAGUUUCACCAUUGUUUAGUGAACAAUUCCAAGAGUAUCCAGCAACACAUGGCUCCAUUGCAGCAGGAGCACUGCUUGGUGGGGAGGUUUAAAUUUGCAGCGUUAGAUGCACAACAUUUGAAUUAACAAGUUUCUGGAUCUUGCAGGGACUUGGGGUUUUUUGGUUUUUUUUUUGACAAGGGCAAAAUUCUUCAUCUUGGGGUGCUUUGGUUGUCUUUAGUGAUGGAGAUGAUCAGCAAGUGAGCACCCUGUACGACAGAGCUACUGUGGGAGCGGCGGAGCACAGCUGAGGUUGCAGGAAGGAUCUCUGUGUCUUUGCUGGGAUUCUUUUAGAUGCUAUCGAGCCAGGAGGCAGGAAAAAGGAUUAUUAUGUAUUCCUUUGUUGUUACAUAUUGAGAGAGUUUGAGGCUUUCCAGUGAAAGCUGCCCUGCAUGCUGAUUUUAAACAGUAUGGUUGACUAAGCAAAAAUCCUUAUUGUGGGCAGAGCUGUACGAAUAUAAAGAGUUGGUCAGUGCAUCGUUUUCAUGAUGUUUUAACCAGCUUGGUUAAAAUCCACCAGACAAGAAGUCCUUCUAAUAUGGGAAUAUAAUGGCCCUUUUAUCUGUAGUCCAUUCCCCUUCUCUACAGGAGUAAAAAUCCUCUGCAUAACGCCUUGCAUCCACAGCUUUGUAUGCGUGUGUGCGGGAUGUGGCUAAGGCUGAAAUUUAAUGAUUGUUUCCAAAGUAGCGAAGGCAAUAAAUGGGAGAAGAGUGCAGAAAGCUUGGCAGAUGGAUGCAGGCAGCAUAUGCCGUGUUCAUCAAACACAUGACAAGGGCUGAGAUCGACUCAGGACAAAGGGUGGUCACAGGAGUGAAGAGGGUCCGUAGAGAAGAAGGUGAGCAGAAAGGCAGAAAGAUUUGCAUCAGGUGAGAAUGAAGAAUUUUAUUUUGUUGUAGAACACAGUAUCAGUGAAGUAUAUACCCAAAUGCUAUGAAAGGAAGGGAGGUGGGAAUUUGGUUAAGGAAUUGUUUCUGUUGCAGAAAGGUCACUGUAGAAGUUGCAGUGACUUUGGCAUCAUGUGAUCUUUUACAGCUCUGUGUACGUGUAAGGUGACUCAGUGAAGCAGUAUGUGCAAGGAGACUAUAGCUGGAAGGAUGCCUGUGGGAAUGCCUGAAGUAUAAUUUCAAUGGGGUGUGGGAAGACAGGAUGUUCAUGGGGAUUUGCCACAACUUUUCUGUGGUGAGAGAUCACGCACAAGAAGAUUUACAGCAACAGUGCAGGGAAACUAUGUGACACUACAACCCAUCCAACAGAGAGUGUCAGCUCCAGCUUACAACCAACUGAAUCAGUAAAUGUGGAGGCAAGAAAGAGACUUUUUUUUUUUGUCCUCCCAUGUGUUUUUUAAUAAAUGCCAAGUUCCCAUAAAAAUUUAGACCCAUUGUAGCUGCCACUUGACUUCUGUCAGUUCUGGGUCCCUAUCAUUUGAUUUUCCUGAAACAGGCACCAUGAGUCAAUUUGCAAGAUAUUUCCAUUAGCAUGUUGGGUUGAUUCAACUUAUAUCCUGCCCCGUUGUGUCUGACUCAUUCUUCCCCAUCUCUAAGAGAAGCCCAGUGGAAGCAGAGGGGCCUUCACAUAGAUGCUCAAGGUCUCUAUCAGAUAAUAGGUGAAGAAAUAUUUGCCAUGACCAAGCUAUGGUCAUUUUUUGCCAUUCCUUAGUCACUUGGCAGCCAAUGGAGGGAAGAGGCGAGAGCAGGGUGGGGGAGAGUAAAUGAGACAGAGAGACGAGAACAAAAGAUUCUUUUGUGGUACAGAGAGAGAGAAAAGGGAAAGCAUCACCAAAUGCCCAGAAGCCAUGUUUGUAACAAGAGACCUAUUCUCUCAGCUACUUGGAAAACAACUUGGAGUAAAAGGCCCUGGUUGAAUUAACCCUUCAUGGAGGUGAUUUACUGAGUGUGAAGGAAAGAGGCAUGGCCGCGGGAGAUAUGAUCUGUGUGGAGAGGUAGCAGUCUUGACUCUUGGGUAACUUAAAAACAGGAUUGGUUGUCUGGGAAGAGGAGCUAGGGAUGGAUGGUGUUGGGUGAUUUGGCCAUACUGAAGUUUUAAAAUGUCAGAUAUCCUUUCUUCAUUGGACCUUUGGUUUGGGAGCAGAUCACCAGAGGGGUUUUUGCAGCAUAUCAGGUGAUGACUUUUUGAUCGAUGUUUUUCCUAGGGAUGCUAUGGAGUAAGGAAAACACCACCCCUAAAAUAUACAGCUUACUGCAGCAUAAUCUUGUCCCAUCACAGCCUCUGUGAAUUCAGGUUCUAUUGCUGGCCUUCAAAAACCCUCUCCUCACACAUUGUGUAUCUCUUGCUCAUGUUUUGGUCCUCUCUUUGACUGAGAAGAACAGUUUUACUGGAGGUAGGGGUUCUCUGUAAAACUGAAACUAUGCCAAAUCAUCAAUUUCCAAAUAAACAACCACUUUUAAUUUGUUGUCAUCGUUCCCUCCCUUAGCCUCCUCCACAUUAUUUAUAAGGAAUUUUCCUCUUUAAUUGAGUGGAUCUCUGGGCAAAAGAAGACUCUAGGCUGAUGGUACCAGAAAAAGCUCCAGUCAAGGAAAGAAAAUCUGAACCUAUUUGAAGAUAAACAUGGAAUAUCAGCAUAUGCUGUGUGAGUUUAACUGCAAGCUUGCUUCUGGGUGCCCUAAAGAAGCGAGACAGAUCUCAGAGAAAGCUUCCUCCCCUCAUAAAAGUGCAGGAGGGACAGCAACCUGCCUCUGGAUCCUCCUGACACAGUGCCAGGCAAAGGGCUGCAAAGAGCAGUGGAAAGACAUUUCUCCUCUCUGCUUCAUCGUCUCACCAGCUCAGCAGCAGUGUCCUCCCAUCAUGGGUCACCCAUCCCCCUGGCCUGAUGGUGCAGA